Long non-coding RNA from Esox lucius (northern pike), 1219 nucleotides. The record is from Ensembl. Lineage: Eukaryota; Metazoa; Chordata; Actinopteri; Esociformes; Esocidae.
GUCUCCAACAAUAAUCAUAGGCCUCAGGAUCUCUUCAACUCUCUUAACUCUCUGAUAAACACCAGUAGCGCAGCUUGUAUUGUUUCAAGUUUUUAAAUGUGCUUUAUAAAUAAAGUUGACAUUGACACUGAGUACUAGUGACAAUACUAGUGACAAUACUAGUGACGGUAACAGUGACGGUACUAGGGACGGUACUAGUGACAAUACUAGCGACAGUACUAGCGAUGGUUGGAGAAGAGCCUGAGAAAAGAGGUUGGGCUUUCGUGGAAAUGCCAUGUGAGGAACUGUGUCAAAGUGGCUGCAUGACAGAACAUACAUCCUUGUGGUGCUCCUGUUCAAAGGGAUGCACAGUCAGAAAAAGGCAAAGUAACUUUUAUGAGUGGGGUCAUGAGGGUGUUACGUGUGGUUGUUAAGGAAGGGGUGAUAAGUGUGGUUAUUAAGAAGGUGAGGGAGGGUUAAUUGUGUUCAUAAAGAAGGUGGGUGUGUGUUGAGUGUGUUUAUAAAGGAGGUGGGGAGGUGUUAAGUGUGUUCAUAAAAGAUGUGGGGUGUUAAGUGUGUUAUAAAGGAGGUGGAGGGUGUUAAGUGUGUUUAUAAAGGAGGUGGCGGGGUGUUAAGUGUGCUUAUAAAGGAGGUGGGAGGGUGUUACGUGUGUUUAUAAAGGAAGUGGGGGGUGUUAAGUGUGUUUAUAAAGGAGGUGGGGGGUGUUAAGUGUGUUUAUAAAGGAGGUGGGGAGGAUUUAAGUGUGUUAUAAAGGAGGUGGGAGGGUGUUAAGUGUGUUUAUAAAGGAGGUGGGGGGGUGUUAAGUGUGUUUAUAAAGAAGGUGGGAGGGUGUUAAGUGUGUUUGUAAAGGAGGUGGGGGGUGUUACGUGUGUUUAUAAAGGAGGUGGGAGGGUGUUAAGUGUGGUUAUAAAGGAAGGGGUGUUAAGUGUGUUUAUAGAGGAGGUGAGGGGUGUUAAGUGUGUUUAUAAAGGAGGUGGGGGUGUUAAGUGUGUUUAUAAAGGUUGUGGGGGGUUAAGUGUGUUUAUAAAAGAGGUGGGGGGGUUAAGUGUGUUCAUAAAGGAGGUGGGGGAUGAUUAAAUGUGUUUACACAGUUUGUUUGCAAAAGUUUGAAUGCUACAUUUUGAAUGUUACAAUUAAACAGUUUAAGAGUAUGGUUUAAAUAUGACAGUUUACAGUAUGACUGUACAGUUUGCAACAGUUAAAAUGUUACUGUUUAAAU